Molecule: transfer RNA, 72 nt
Filed under: Sulfuricella denitrificans skB26
Lineage: Bacteria; Pseudomonadati; Pseudomonadota; Betaproteobacteria; Nitrosomonadales; Sulfuricellaceae
Rfam family: tRNA
About the family: Transfer RNA (tRNA) molecules are approximately 80 nucleotides in length. Their secondary structure includes four short double-helical elements and three loops (D, anti-codon, and T loops).
Source: Rfam by way of RNAcentral
GGGAGAUUAGCUCAGCGGUAGAGCAUCCGCCUCACACGCGGGGGGCCACUGGUUCGAUCCCAGUAUCUCCCA